RNAcentral lists this ribosomal RNA (435 nucleotides) under uncultured bacterium. Its description in RNAcentral is "partial 16S ribosomal RNA". It matches the Rfam family "Bacterial small subunit ribosomal RNA", at positions 29 to 507 of the family's 1533-position model. The record is from RNAcentral.
AACGAACGCUGGCGGCAUGCCUAACACAUGCAAGUCGAACGAUUGCCUUCGGGUGAUAGUGGAGCACGGGUGCGUAACGCGUGGGAAUCUGCCCUUAGGUUCGGAAUAACAGCUGGAAACGGCUGCUAAUACCGGAUGAUAUCGCGAGAUCAAAGAUUUAUCGCCUGAGGAUGAGCCCGCGUUGGAUUAGGUAGUUGGUGGGGUAAAGGCCUACCAAGCCGACGAUCCAUAGCUGGUCUGAGAGGAUGAUCAGCCACACUGGGACUGAGACACGGCCCAGACUCCUACGGGAGGCAGCAGUGGGGACUAUUGGACAAUGGGCGCAAGCCUGAUCCAGCAAUGCCGCGUGAGUGAUGAAGGCCAUAGGGUUGUAAAGCUCUUUUAACCGGGAAGAUAAUGACUGUACCGGGAGAAUAAGCCCCGGCUAACUCCGUG